GACGAACGCUGGCGGCGUGCUUAACACAUGCAAGUCGAACGGAGUUAAGGAGCUUGCUUCUUAACUUAGUGGCGAACGGGUGAGUAACGCGUGAGGAACCUGCCUUUCAGAGGGGGACAACAGUUGGAAACGACUGCUAAUACCGCAUGAUACUUGCGAAUGGCAUCAUUUGCAAGUCAAAGAUUUAUCGCUGAAAGAUGGCCUCGCGUCUGAUUAGCUAGUUGGUGGGGUAACGGCCCACCAAGGCGACGAUCAGUAGCCGGACUGAGAGGUUGACCGGCCACAUUGGGACUGAGAUACGGCCCAG
This 307-nucleotide ribosomal RNA is filed under the name uncultured bacterium. RNAcentral describes it as "bacterial SSU rRNA". It matches the Rfam family "Bacterial small subunit ribosomal RNA", at positions 28 to 334 of the family's 1533-position model. The record is from RNAcentral.